CCUACGGGUGGCAGCAGUGGGGGAUAUUGCACAAUGGGGGAAACCCUGAUGCAGCGACGCCGCGUGGGUGAAGAAGCGCCUCGGCGCGUAAAGCCCUAUCAGCAGGAAAGUAAAUGACGGUACCUGACUAAGAAGCCCCGGCCAACUACGUGCCAGCAGCCGCGGUAAUACGGAGGGGGCAAGCGUUAUCCGGAUUUACUGGGUGUAAAGGGAGCGUAGACGGGAGUGCAAGUCCGUAGUGAAAGUCCGGGGCGCAACCCUGGGACUGCUAUGGAUACUGGAAAGCUGGAGUUCGGGAGGGGCAGGCGGAAUUCCUGGUGUAGCGGUGAAAUGCGUAGAUAUCAGGAGGAACACCGGCGGCGAAGGCGGCCUGCUGGACCGUAACUGACGUUGAGGCUCGAAAGCGUGGGGAGCAAACAGGAUUAGAUACCCCUGUAGUC
This 440-nucleotide ribosomal RNA is filed under the name uncultured bacterium. RNAcentral's name for it is "partial 16S ribosomal RNA". It matches the Rfam family "Bacterial small subunit ribosomal RNA", at positions 338 to 795 of the family's 1533-position model. The record is from RNAcentral.